Molecule: non-coding RNA, 81 nt
Organism: Paragonimus kellicotti
Lineage: Eukaryota; Metazoa; Platyhelminthes; Trematoda; Plagiorchiida; Troglotrematidae
Source: the annotation of a GenBank genome assembly
GGCUUCGUAGCUGAGCUGAUAGAACGCUUGCCACGGUUUGACAUGCUGUUUUUGCUGCUGGUUCGAAUCCAGUCGAAGCCC